CAGCGCGGGGCAACCUGGCGGCGAGUGGCGAACGGGUGAGUAAUAUAUCGGAACGUACCCAGAAGUGGGGGAUAACGUAGCGAAAGUUACGCUAAUACCGCAUACGAUCUACGGAUGAAAGUGGGGGACCUUCGGGCCUCAUGCUUUUGGAGCGGCCGAUAUCUGAUUAGCUAGUUGGUGAGGUAAAGGCUCACCAAGGCGACGAUCAGUAGCUGGUCUGAGAGGACGACCAGCCACACUGGAACUGAGACACGGUCCAGACUCCUACGGGAGGCAGCAGUGGGGAAUUUUGGACAAUGGGCGCAAGCCUGAUCCAGCAAUGCCGCGUGAGUGAAGAAGGCCUUCGGGUUGUAAAGCUCUUUUGUCAGGGAAGAAACGGCUCCGGCUAAUAUCCGGGGCUAAUGACGGUACCUGAAGAAUAAGCACCGGCUAACUACGUGCCAGCAGCCGCGGUAAUACGUAGGGUGCAAGCGUUAAUCGGAAUUACUGGGCGUAAAGCGUGCGCAGGCGGUUUUGUAAGUCUGACGUGAAAUCCCCGGGCUCAACCUGGGAAUUGCGUUGGAGACUGCAAGGCUGGAGUCUGGCAGAGGGGGGUAGAAUUCCACGUGUAGCAGUGAAAUGCGUAGAGAUGUGGAGGAACACCGAUGGCGAAGGCAGCCCCCUGGGUCAAGACUGACGCUCAUGCACGAAGCGUGGGAGCAAACAGGAUUAGAUACCCUGGUAGUCCACGCCCUAAACGAUGUCUACUAGUUGUC
Molecule: ribosomal RNA, 755 nt
Filed under: Massilia sp.
Lineage: Bacteria; Pseudomonadati; Pseudomonadota; Betaproteobacteria; Burkholderiales; Oxalobacteraceae
Description: bacterial SSU rRNA
Rfam family: Bacterial small subunit ribosomal RNA
Source: RNAcentral